RNAcentral lists this ribosomal RNA (247 nucleotides) under Cronobacter sakazakii. Its description in RNAcentral is "partial 23S ribosomal RNA". It matches the Rfam family "Bacterial large subunit ribosomal RNA", at positions 1471 to 1715 of the family's 2925-position model. The record is from RNAcentral. Lineage: Bacteria; Pseudomonadati; Pseudomonadota; Gammaproteobacteria; Enterobacterales; Enterobacteriaceae.
GACGGAGAAGGCUAUGUCGGCCGGGCGACGGUUGUCCCGGUUUAAGCGUGUAGGCUGACUUUCCAGGCAAAUCCGGAAGGUUAAGGCUGAGGCGUGAUGACGAGGCACCACGGUGCUGAAGUGACAAAUGCCCUGCUUCCAGGAAAAGCCUCUAAGCAUCAGGUAACAUUAAAUCGUACCCCAAACCGACACAGGUGGUCAGGUAGAGAAUACCAAGGCGCUUGAGAGAACUCGGGUGAAGGAACUA